RNAcentral lists this ribosomal RNA (414 nucleotides) under uncultured microorganism. RNAcentral's name for it is "bacterial SSU rRNA". It matches the Rfam family "Archaeal small subunit ribosomal RNA", at positions 330 to 745 of the family's 1478-position model. The record is from RNAcentral.
GUGCAGCAGGCGAGAAACCUCCGCAAUGCGGGAAACCGUGACGGGGUCACCCCGAGUGCCACCCGAUGAGGGUGGCUUUUCCCCGGUCUAAAAAGCCGGGGGCAAUAAGCGGGGGGCAAGUCUGGUGUCAGCCGCCGCGGUAAUACCAGCCCCGCGAGUGGUCGGGACGUUUAUUGGGCCUAAAGCGUCCGUAGCCGGCUCGGUAAGUCCCUCCUUAAAUCCACGGGCUCAACCCGUGGGCUGGGAGGGAUACUGCCGGGCUAGGGGGCGGGAGAGGCCGAGGGUACUCCCGGGGUAGGGGCGAAAUCCGUUAAUCCCGGGAGGACCACCAGUGGCGAAGGCGCUCGGCUGGAACGCGCCCGACGGUGAGGGACGAAAGCUAGGGGAGCAAAGGGGAUUAGAUACCCGCGUAGU